ACCAAGGACGUUAGUAACUGAACGUCCCCUUCCGGUAUCUAACCAUAAACCCACGGCUAACUACGUGCCUGCAGCCCCGGUAAUACAUAGGUGGCAAGCGUUGUCCGGAUUUAUUGGGCGUAAAGCGAGCGCAGGCGGUUUCUUAAGUCUGAUGUGAAAGCCCCCGGCUCAACCGGGGAGGGUCAUUGGAAACUGGGAGACUUGAGUGCAGAAGAGGAGAGUGGAAUUCCAUGUGUAGCGGUGAAAUGCGUAGAUAUAUGGAGGAACACCAGUGGCGAAGGCGGCUCUCUGGUCUGUAACUGACGCUGAGGCUCGAAAGCGUGGGGAGCAAACAGGAUUAGAUACCCUGGUAGUCCACGCCGUAAACGAUGAGUGCUAAGUGUUGGAGGGUUUCCGCCCUUCAGUGCUGCAGCAAACGCAUUAAGCACUCCGCCUGGGGA
RNAcentral lists this ribosomal RNA (440 nucleotides) under Enterococcus faecalis. Its description in RNAcentral is "bacterial SSU rRNA". It matches the Rfam family "Bacterial small subunit ribosomal RNA", at positions 448 to 879 of the family's 1533-position model. The record is from RNAcentral. Lineage: Bacteria; Bacillati; Bacillota; Bacilli; Lactobacillales; Enterococcaceae.